GACGAACGCUGGCGGCGUGCUUAACACAUGCAAGUCGAACGGAAAGGCCCUGCUUUUGUGGGGUGCUCGAGUGGCGAACGGGUGAGUAACACGUGAGUAACCUGCCCUUGACUUUGGGAUAACUUCAGGAAACUGGGGCUAAUACCGGAUAGGAGCUCCUGCUGCAUGGUGGGGGUUGGAAAGUUUCGGCGGGUGGGGAUGGACUCGCGGCUUAUCAGCUUGUUGGUGGGGUAGUGGCUUACCAAGGCUUUGACGGGUAGCCGGCCUGAGAGGGUGACCGGCCACAUUGGGACUGAGAUACGGCCCAGACUCCUACGGGAGGCAGCAGUGGGGAAUAUUGCACAAUGGGCGGAAGCCUGAUGCAGCAACGCCGCGUGCGGGAUGACGGCCUUCGGGUUGUAAACCGCUUUCGCCUGCGACGAAGCGUGAGUGACGGUAAUGGGUAAAGAAGCACCGGCUAACUACGUG
RNAcentral lists this ribosomal RNA (468 nucleotides) under uncultured bacterium. Its description in RNAcentral is "partial 16S ribosomal RNA". It matches the Rfam family "Bacterial small subunit ribosomal RNA", at positions 28 to 507 of the family's 1533-position model. The record is from RNAcentral.